Molecule: non-coding RNA, 3839 nt
Organism: Coturnix japonica (Japanese quail)
Lineage: Eukaryota; Metazoa; Chordata; Aves; Galliformes; Phasianidae
Source: RefSeq, a predicted model, not a curated record
ACGAGGCAGCUGACAAGUCCAGUUUGAGAGAAGUAUGUAUGUAGAAAAUUAAACAUUUCAUUAAGAUGAGGACUUUGGAAUAUACUCGCAUGUCCCACUCCAACAGAAGCACCCAGAUGUUAAGGAGCAACAGAACCUCAUAAAGUUGGCUCAAGCUGUAGUCAGUUGCUCAUAACAGACAGUGAUGAAGCUACCCCCUACCCACCUCCAGCACAUAUCUGAGCUGCUGCUAAAAGAGAAAAUAAAGAAGGAAAAGAAGGAAGGCACCAAUUAAACAACUGGAGGGAAACAUUAGUGAGGCUAUUGAUAUUGCAAUUAUGAAAAAAUUAAAGUAUUUAGCCCAGAAAGCCAUUUGAAACUCAUCAAGUGGAAAUGUUGUUUGUUCACUGCUGAUUGCAGAAUAUCAAAUGACAGUUUUCUGUCAUCUCUACCAGGAAAUACCUCUCUGGCAACUUGUACAACUCCAGUGUCCCUCUUUAUAGCCUAGAUAUUUAAAAAUGAACGACUGCUUUCUUGGUUAGGAGCAGCUGGCUAAGAAACCUGCUCCUUAAUUAGCAGCUUCUCCCCAGGGAUAUUUACUCAGUAAAUUUACUCUUCAGUGGAAGUGCUGCUGGUAAUUCAAAGAACAAGGCCCAUCUCUUCAGCGUCCACUGGCUUUUAACUAAGAAAGUACUUGCAUAUUUUUAGAAGGUGACUCUUGCUAUUUGCUUUGCUCAGAGAAAACAAAGAGGAGAAGCUGCCAAAUCCGUUCGCUGAUAUGACUGGUUAUCUACAGCAUUGAUUUAGAUGAGAUUGUUUUAUGGGGUUAAAAAAUAAAUAAAUCAAAGCUCCCAAUUUUUGGUGACCUCUUGUAGUAGUAAAAAAAAAGGUUCUUAUUUGAAUGCUUUUCACUCAAAACUUCACGCUUUAAAUACAUUCAGGACUUAUGGAUCGUAUUCAAGCUAUCCUGUAUCAACGACGCACAUUCACACUGCAUUUCUUCAAUUUAAGAGGGAAAAAACCCCACACAAAACAAAACCUGUACCAAAAGAACAAGAAAUAAGCCUAACAAACCACUCACCCUUCCCCGACAGAAAACCAAACCACACAAAAAAAAACAAAAAACCGUCAGGAAAAGAUUCUGCCUGAAGGUCCACGACCUCAGUUUACUCUGCAAUUCUGCUAGGCAUCUGGAGCCAGACUGGGAAUAUUACUUAAACAUCAGCAAUUGUGGCUAGUUCCCUUAUAAGACUGACAAGUGAGUAUAACCUUGCAGGAUUUUCAUUCCCACCAGCCGCCAGUCGGCCCAACACAGGCUGGCCAGCAAUUAAAAAGGAACUGGCAGAUGUUUCUUGCUUCGAAGCUACAAAAUAUUGCAAAUAUUGAAAUACUGUGGGUCUAAAAGAUGAUGACAGUCUAAGAGCUCAUCAUAGAGCUCAUCAUACUGUGCUUUUAUACCAAGGUUACUCCAGUGAUUUUAAGGGAAACAUUCUUCUAAACAAAACAACCCACAUUCAUGCCUAUAUGGAUGGAUCUAUAACGGGAACGGGGCUUAACCAAUGGAUGUGGAAUAAUACUAAUCAAUGCCACCACUCUGGAUCUACCAGAUUGCUGCCUGCUCACAUAAUUUUCCUUCUUUGUACUCCAGUUUAUCUACCGGUGAAUUAGAUGAAUGCUCAUAUCCUUUGGAAAAUUGCAGGAAAUCUCUGGAUAAGCAGAAGUUCCAAAUAAUAAUAUUAGUCAUUAAGAUGAUCUCUAGCUACUUCUUGGUGAAUUACUGCAUUUUUUUUUAACAUGUUGCAACAUCAUUAACUACUACUUUUCCCCAAAGGUGACCUAAUCUAAAGAUGAAGAGCUCAAAACACCAGAUCCCCCCAGUAAAAUCUCCCUGAAAACAUGUGCUUUCAGACUGUGAGAUUAUUCUGUAAAAUUUCAAUCUACACCUCUUCAAUACUUCCUUUGGAAUUUUAAGUCACUUUAAGACCCUCCAUUAACAAAAACUAUCUGUAUAAUCUGAUGCUUAGAUCUCUCUUCCCAUCAUUAAACGCACAAUGCAUGCCAUUAGUCUUCUCAUGGUCAGACACACAGCAGGCCCCAUGGUUUACUCAUCUUAUCUUGCUAGGCUUUCACUUCACACCAUACUUUUUGUUUAAGACUGGUGUAGCAGCCAGGACUACGGGAAGACCUUUUUCUCUAGUCCAGUGAAUGAAACAAAACUGAUCAUCCUAUGACUUAUAUUCCACAGGUUCAAGUCAGCUUUACAAAUUAUACAUAUCACUGAAUCUGCAUGAACAUCUCCCAGGCAAAAAAGGCUGUGGUACCCUAAGAAAUUCAAGCCACCCUGCCCUUACGAAGAUCCCGACUCAUGGUUUCCAUUCUCCUCCUAAUAGCUUCCAGCCACUGCCGUUCAGUCAAGGCUUUUUCUCAUACUGACUUAACAACUGUAACAUUUAGCAAAUAAAAGUCCAUCUGAGCACUGCCUAUUUCAUUAGUUUUGCCAGCCUCUGUGAGUGCAGAAGUUCCAUUUUCUAAUCAGAGACUCUCUCCUGAUUAAUGCAAACUCUCAAGGGAUAUAUUUGAGUUUCUAUACAUCCUAUUACAAGAAUCAUAUAAUGGUAGCAUUAUAUAUAUAUUAUCAUGUAAUGGUAGUAUGUCUUCUCUUAGCAAAAUGAAUGCUUAUACAUACAUAUGUCCGCUGUUUCAUCUUCUGGAAUCUCACACAGAAUCACAGAAUUUUCGAAGCUGGGAGACAGCUGGAGGUCAUCUGGCCAAAACCCUGCUGAAGUGGGUCCACUACAGUUUGCAGCCCUGGGCUGUGUCCAGGCAGCUUUUGAGGAUCUCCACGUCAGCCUGUUCCACUGCUGUCACCCACGUGGUGUUUCCUGCUCUUCCUGUGUCUCAGGCUUUGCUCACUGCUUUUUGUCCGCCAGGCACAAAUGAAAAGAGACUGGCUCUGUCCUCCUUGCACCUUUGCUUCAGAUUUGGAAUCAGAGAAAUGCAGCCACACUGAGAGUGAAGAAUACACGGGGAAUCAUUUUCUAGACUACAUACUUCAUCAUAUUCAUGUCGCGUCUGAUUACUUGCAGGGGGAAGGAAGAAUGCAGAAGGGAGAGACGCUAACAAUUUCUAUCCUAACAUAUCCCCCACCCCAUCCCCAGCAGUUAUUAUCUUUAGGUAUCAAGCCGAGUGCAUUAUAAUACUAAGUUAUUGGUAAUUUACUGAAAUAAUGUAAAUUAGCCAAAAUGCACAGUGAAAAUUCAGCCUGAGAAAGAAAAAAGAAACAAAAUUCGUGGCAGUAGCUUCUCUUGAUGUGAAUAACUUCUGUGAACUGACACACUGAAAAGGCUAAUUAGAGCUGUUUAGCCAUUUUCUAUAGCUUGGUAAUGGGCACUAUUAUUUGAAAGUUCUACAGCACAGUUACUGCAACUAUUGGAGCACUGUUAAUCUUCUGGAUGUGGGAUCAAUGCAGCAGUUACAGCAAGCAAGCAGGCUCUUCACCCCUAAAAUUGGCAAAGUACCCAUCAUAGGUGAUCUCCACGUGGUGACCAGCUGUGUUUGCAUAACACCGUGGUAGUACUGGGGCCCUUCUAUAGUGUUGGUAUAGCUGAGAGCUAUUUAUAAAUAAACUGGACUUUCAACAGUCAUUACUGUGACAACCCUGGAGAUUACAUCCACCACAGUGAUUCUGCUGCACCACAGCUCUGUCCGUAGUCACAAAAGUAAUCAAGUUAUUCAGGUACUUCUCAAGUGUGAAAGACCUCAAAGCAUAUGACCUUGUGGCACUGCUCAUGAGAGAGCACAACUUUGUGAAGUACGAAUGCAUUUCUUCCUGCUAACUAAUUAAACUGGAUUCCUCGCUA